CACGACGUUGUAAAACGACGGCUGUAACUAUAACGGUCCUAAGGUAGCAAAUUUCCUUGUCGUCCUAAUAACGACCUGCAUGAAACAUAGAACGAUUCGAUAGCUGUCUUGCACACACAUCAUGGUAAAAUAUUCAUCAGUACAAAUAAUAUGCUGCUCUCAGUCGAGUGACACUAAAGGACAAAAAGACCCUCUGAAGCUUUAUAGGGAUAAAACUUGGAAUGCAUCGCGAUCUAAAUUAUCUUAUUGCAUCGCAGCUAAAGUGAAUAGAUUUCUGAUUUCUCCUAAGACCACUGUUUAAUUGGGGCGAUAACCUUAUCCACAGCCACCUAAGGUGAACAAAGCGAUACAAGGAUCCUAAAUACUAAUUUGACCAACUAAUAAGUGCAAAGAUACAUGUUUCGCUUAAUGGCCCAACAAGUCCUUCCCAGUACUUAAAUGCUAUCUUAAUGAGCUUUAAAUUAAUCUACCCGAGUGAAGCUACUCUACGGAUAACAGGCUUAAUUUCCGCAAUACUCAAGGUCACAUUAUCAAGAAAAAUGCACCUCGAUGUCGGCUUAUCCUCCCAAAAUAAGUAGCGCCAAUUAUUGGUGGGAGUGCUCAUCCCGUAAA
Molecule: ribosomal RNA, 612 nt
Filed under: Symbiodinium sp. clade F
Lineage: Eukaryota; Dinophyceae; Suessiales; Symbiodiniaceae
Description: partial 23S ribosomal RNA
Rfam family: Bacterial large subunit ribosomal RNA
Source: RNAcentral